UUAAAAGCUAAGAAAAAGAAGAGUAGUUUAAAAGAAGAAUUUCAGAGAGAGGGGAGUGCUGGAAACCCUUAUUUAGAUUUUAAAUGAAGUGCCCUUUGGAGCUUAAACUCAGAAAUAAAGUAUGAGUUUACGGGAGUGCCCGUUAUAGUAAUAAAGCAUGUUAGUGCUUGAAUAAAGGUGGAAUUAUUGUUUUUAAUUCAAUUAGAGUGGGACCGCGAAAAUACUUCGUCUCUAUA
The sequence is a non-coding RNA, 236 nucleotides long. It matches the Rfam family "T-box leader". Rfam says of the family: Uncharged tRNA acts as the effector for transcription antitermination of genes in the T-box leader family. T-boxes are found upstream of many aminoacyl-tRNA synthetase genes and some amino acid biosynthetic genes usually in Gram-positive bacteria.